UGCUGCUUUACCUCAGGGUAAUGAUUGUGUGGACCAGGGCCGGCUUUAGGCCGAUUCCCCGGAAUCAGCACUAAUUCCUGACUACAGCCUGCUGCUUACCCAGUAUUUUCACCUCUGCUUCACUGAAGUAUGGAACCGUGACAUGUCCGCCCCAGCUUGCAGCAUUCAAAUCCCAUGGGUGCACACCUAUGUCUGGAAUAGAUAGGUCCAGAAUAGGCCCCUCAAUUCUAGAUCUGUUGUUGUUGCCAAUAGUUCAAUUGGUAGUGAGUGGCACUUCAAUGGCAAAUGUUGUUAUAUUUUAUUCAUCCUACUCUAUAGUCAGUUGCCUCUUGACAACUGUCCAGCUGGUGGCAUGUCUGCCCUAUACUGUGCAAAGCAUGAUUUGCGCAAAGCUUUUGAGGAAGCUUUAAUGAAACCUGCAGUUCAUAAGUACACAACUGUAGUAAAAUAAAUGGUUUAGUUUUUA
Molecule: long non-coding RNA, 466 nt
Organism: Malaclemys terrapin pileata
Lineage: Eukaryota; Metazoa; Chordata; Testudines; Emydidae
Exons: 2
Source: RefSeq, a predicted model, not a curated record